RNAcentral lists this ribosomal RNA (729 nucleotides) under Pseudomonas sp. Its description in RNAcentral is "bacterial SSU rRNA". It matches the Rfam family "Bacterial small subunit ribosomal RNA", at positions 56 to 780 of the family's 1533-position model. Lineage: Bacteria; Pseudomonadati; Pseudomonadota; Gammaproteobacteria; Pseudomonadales; Pseudomonadaceae. The record is from RNAcentral.
UGCAAGUCGAGCGGUAGAGAGAAGCUUGCUUCUCUUGAGAGCGGCGGACGGGUGAGUAAUGCCUAGGAAUCUGCCUGGUAGUGGGGGAUAACGUUCGGAAACGGACGCUAAUACCGCAUACGUCCUACGGGAGAAAGCAGGGGACCUUCGGGCCUUGCGCUAUCAGAUGAGCCUAGGUCGGAUUAGCUAGUUGGUGAGGUAAUGGCUCACCAAGGCGACGAUCCGUAACUGGUCUGAGAGGAUGAUCAGUCACACUGGAACUGAGACACGGUCCAGACUCCUACGGGAGGCAGCAGUGGGGAAUAUUGGACAAUGGGCGAAAGCCUGAUCCAGCCAUGCCGCGUGUGUGAAGAAGGUCUUCGGAUUGUAAAGCACUUUAAGUUGGGAGGAAGGGCAGUUACCUAAUACGUGAUUGUUUUGACGUUACCGACAGAAUAAGCACCGGCUAACUCUGUGCCAGCAGCCGCGGUAAUACAGAGGGUGCAAGCGUUAAUCGGAAUUACUGGGCGUAAAGCGCGCGUAGGUGGUUUGUUAAGUUGGAUGUGAAAUCCCCGGGCUCAACCUGGGAACUGCAUUCAAAACUGACUGACUAGAGUAUGGUAGAGGGUGGUGGAAUUUCCUGUGUAGCGGUGAAAUGCGUAGAUAUAGGAAGGAACACCAGUGGCGAAGGCGACCACCUGGACUAAUACUGACACUGAGGUGCGAAAGCGUGGGGAGCAAACAGGAUUA